AUUGAACGCUGGCGGCAUGCCUAACACAUGCAAGUCGAACGGUAACAGGUCUUCGGAUGCUGACGAGUGGCGGACGGGUGAGUAAUGCGUAGGAAUCUGUCUUUUAGUGGGGGACAACCCAGGGAAACUUGGGCUAAUACCGCAUGAGCCCUGAGGGGGAAAGCGGGGGAUCUUCGGACCUCGCGCUAAGGGAAGAGCCUACGUCUGAUUAGCUAGUUGGUAGGGUAAAGGCCUACCAAGGCGACGAUCAGUAGCUGGUCUGAGAGGACGACCAGCCACACUGGGACUGAGACACGGCCCAGACUCCUACGGGAGGCAGCAGUGGGGAAUUUUUCGCAAUGGGGGCAACCCUGACGAAGCAAUGCCGCGUGGAUGAAGAAGGCCUUCGGGUUGUAAAGUCCUUUCGUGGGGGACGAAAAGGUGGUUCCUAAUACGAGCUGCUGUUGACGUGAACCCAAGAAGAAGCACCGGCUAACUCCGUGCCAGCAGCCGCGGUAAUACGUAGGGUGCGAGCGCUAAUCGGAAUCACUGGGCGUAAAGGGUGCGUAGGCGGUACGUUAGGUCUGUCGUGAAAUCCCCGGGCUCAACCUGGGAAUGGCGGGUAGAAACCGGCGCACUAGAGUAUGGGAGAGGGUGGGUGGAAUUCCAGGUGUAGCGGUGAAAUGCGUAGAGAUCUGGAGGAACAUCAGUGGCGAAAGCGGCCACCUGGGCCCAAUACUGACGCUGAGGCACGAAAGCGUGGGGAGCAAACAGGAUUAGAUACCCUGGUAGUCCACGCCCUAAACGAUGAAUACUAGAUGUUUGGUACCUAGCGUACUGAGUGUCGUAGCUAACGCGAUAAGUAUUCCGCCUGGGAAGUACGGCCGCAAGAUUAAAACUCAAAGGAAUUGACGGGGACCC
This 900-nucleotide ribosomal RNA is filed under the name uncultured bacterium. Its description in RNAcentral is "bacterial SSU rRNA". It matches the Rfam family "Bacterial small subunit ribosomal RNA", at positions 28 to 922 of the family's 1533-position model. The record is from RNAcentral.